GGAACAGGUAUCAAGUUACAAGUAGAUGUAGGUGUAAUAUAAAAUAUUUUCAAUAUGACUUAAGUGUAAACAAGCAAGGAGUUGGUGUCAUUUUAAGGUAUGAUUAUCACAAAAUUUCUGUGUAAAUUAAGAAAUGACAAGCAAGUAAAAUGUGUUAUUUAAAGGUACAACAAAUUAA
Molecule: long non-coding RNA, 178 nt
Organism: Amblyraja radiata (thorny skate)
Lineage: Eukaryota; Metazoa; Chordata; Chondrichthyes; Rajiformes; Rajidae
Exons: 2
Source: RefSeq, a predicted model, not a curated record